This is a transfer RNA of Cavia porcellus (domestic guinea pig), 70 nucleotides long. It matches the Rfam family "tRNA". Rfam says of the family: Transfer RNA (tRNA) molecules are approximately 80 nucleotides in length. Their secondary structure includes four short double-helical elements and three loops (D, anti-codon, and T loops). NCBI's taxonomy places the organism in Eukaryota, Metazoa, Chordata, Mammalia, Rodentia, Caviidae. The record is from Rfam.
GGAUAUUUAGCUUAGUGGCAUAAGCACAUGCCUGGCAAGCAUGAGGUCAUGAGUUCGAUCCCCAAUACCA